GGGCGGGGAUGGGUUGCACACCCAUGUGCCCUUGUGUGCUGUUAUCAAUACCUGGGAUCCCCGCGAUCCUUGGCUGCAGGCGAAGAAGAUCCUCCCAGGACCCUCGUCCCCCGUGGGCCUCCAGAGGGAGAGGAUGGACCAGUGGCACCUACUGAAGAUGUGGGGCUUUACUCCACCCCGGUCAGUGGCCCAAAAGGAGGCUCUGGCUCAGCGUCCGAAGAUCGCCCAGCUGUGGGAGGUGGGAGCCGCUCUGUGGGAGCAGGUAAGGGCACAGCGUGGACCUGCGUGGAAACGGUCACAGACUGUGGCUUUCCUCGCUAAAGGUGGUUGCAGCAGCGAGGCACUUGUGUGUGUGUGUGUGUGUGUGUGUGUGUGUGUGUGUGUGUGUGUGUGUGUGUGUGUGUGUGUGUGUGUGUGUGUGUGUGUGUGUGUGUGUGUGUGUGUGUGUGUCUGGCUCUCCCUCCCGUCCUGGCUUCCGUCUCCCUCCCUAACCCUUCUACUUUGUUCCUAGGCCCUGCUGAGACGCAGGUCGGGUCCUCCGUGCACACAG
This 550-nucleotide long non-coding RNA is filed under the name Pogona vitticeps (central bearded dragon). RNAcentral describes it as "lncRNA (ENSPVIG00000020525.1)". Lineage: Eukaryota; Metazoa; Chordata; Lepidosauria; Squamata; Agamidae. The record is from RNAcentral.